Molecule: ribosomal RNA, 459 nt
Filed under: uncultured bacterium
Lineage: Bacteria
Description: partial 16S ribosomal RNA
Rfam family: Bacterial small subunit ribosomal RNA
Source: RNAcentral
UGGGGAAUAUUGGACAAUGGGGGGCAACCCUGAUCCAGCAAUGCCGCGUGUGUGAAGAAGGUCUUCGGAUUGUAAAGCACUUUCGACGGGGACGAUGAUGACGGUACCCGUAGAAGAAGCCCCGGCUAACUUCGUGCCAGCAGCCGCGGUAAUACGAAGGGGGCUAGCGUUGCUCGGAAUGACUGGGCGUAAAGGGCGUGUAGGCGGUUUACACAGUCAGAUGUGAAAUCCCCGGGCUUAACCUGGGAGCUGCAUUUGAUACGUGUAGACUAGAGUGUGAGAGAGGGUUGUGGAAUUCCCAGUGUAGAGGUGAAAUUCGUAGAUAUUGGGAGAACACCGGUGGCGAAGGCGGCAACCUGGCUCAUGACUGACGCUGAGGCGCGAAAGCGUGGGGAGCAAACAGGAUUAGAUACCCUGGUAGUCCACGCUGUAAACGAUGUGUGCUAGAUGUUGGGUAAC